Molecule: ribosomal RNA, 305 nt
Filed under: uncultured bacterium
Lineage: Bacteria
Description: bacterial SSU rRNA
Rfam family: Bacterial small subunit ribosomal RNA
Source: RNAcentral
UACCUACGGGAGGCAGCAGUGGGGAAUAUUGCACAAUGGGGGAAACCCUGAUGCAGCAACGCCGCGUGAGUGAUGACGGCCUUCGGGUUGUAAAGCUCUGUCUUCAGGGACGAUAAUGACGGUACCUGACCAAGAAGCCCCGGCUAAAUACGUGCCAGCAGCCGCGGUAAUACGUAUGGGGCAAGCGUUAUCCGGAUUUACUGGGUGUAAAGGGAGCGUAGGCGGCAGGGCAAGCCUGAUGUGAAAGCCCGGGGCUCAACCCCGGGACUGCAUUGGGAACUGCCCCGCUCGAGUGCCGGAGGGGC